GCUGUAUGUGGGUUAGUCCGCACGAGCGCACCUGUCUAUCUGUUACAGCACGUUAGGUGGGGACUCAGAUGGAACUGCCGGUGACAAACCGGAGGAAGGUGGGGACGACGUCAAGUCAUCAUGGCCCUUAUGUCCUGGGCUACACACGUGCUACAAUGGCCGGUACAAAGCGGAGCUAAGCGGUGACGCCAAGCGAAUCGCAAAAAGCCGGUCUCAGUACGGAUUGGAGUCUGAAACCCGACUCCAUGAAGUUGGAAUCGCUAGUAAUCGCGCAUCAGCAUGGCGCGGUGAAUACGUUCCCGGGCCUU
Molecule: ribosomal RNA, 308 nt
Filed under: uncultured spirochete
Lineage: Bacteria; Pseudomonadati; Spirochaetota; Spirochaetia; Spirochaetales
Description: bacterial SSU rRNA
Rfam family: Bacterial small subunit ribosomal RNA
Source: RNAcentral